This 484-nucleotide ribosomal RNA is filed under the name uncultured bacterium. RNAcentral describes it as "partial 16S ribosomal RNA". It matches the Rfam family "Bacterial small subunit ribosomal RNA", at positions 30 to 507 of the family's 1533-position model. The record is from RNAcentral.
AUUGAACGCUGGCGGCAGGCCUAACACAUGCAAGUCGAGCGGAUGAAGGGAGCUUGCUCCUGGAUUCAGCGGCGGACGGGUGAGUAAUGCCUAGGAAUCUGCCUGGUAGUGGGGGAUAACGUCCGGAAACGGGCGCUAAUACCGCAUACGUCCUGAGGGAGAAAGUGGGGGAUCUUCGGGCCUCACGCUAUCAGAUGAGCCUAGGUCGGAUUAGCUAGUUGGUGGGGUAAAGGCCUACCAAGGCGACGAUCCGUAACUGGUCUGAGAGGAUGAUCAGUCACACUGGAACUGAGACACGGUCCAGACUCCUACGGGAGGCAGCAGUGGGGAAUAUUGGACAAUGGGCGAAAGCCUGAUCCAGCCAUGCCGCGUGUGUGAAGAAGGUCUUCGGAUUGUAAAGCACUUUAAGUUGGGAGGAAGGACAGUAAGUUAAUACCUUGCUGUUUUGACGUUACCAACAGAAUAAGCACCGGCUAACUUCGUG